GUCCACGCUGUAAACGAUGACGACUAGGUGUGGGGGUUCAGUCCCCUCCGUGCCGCAGCUAACGCAUUAAGUCGUCCGCCUGGGGAGUACGGCCGCAAGGUUGAAACUCAAAGGAAUUGACGGGGCCCGCACAAGCGGUGGAGCAUGUGGUUCAAUUUCGAUGCAGAGCGAAGAACCUUACCUGGGCUUGACAUGCAGGAAGUGAAACCGGAAACGGCAACGACCUGUUAAGUCAGGAACCUGCACAGGUGUGCAUGGCUGUCGU
RNAcentral lists this ribosomal RNA (265 nucleotides) under uncultured bacterium. Its description in RNAcentral is "partial 16S ribosomal RNA". It matches the Rfam family "Bacterial small subunit ribosomal RNA", at positions 793 to 1055 of the family's 1533-position model. The record is from RNAcentral.